This is a long non-coding RNA of Equus caballus (horse), 1844 nucleotides long. Lineage: Eukaryota; Metazoa; Chordata; Mammalia; Perissodactyla; Equidae. The record is from Ensembl.
CAGCCCUCUGACAUGGGGACAAUGUGAAGGGAGGGAGAAGCAGAGUGUGCCAGGACGUCUACUUCCACAUCUACGGUGAGGAAGGCCGGUCUCCACAUUCACCAGGGAUUAACAUCGGAGCAUUAAGCCAGACCCUGAAAAGACAUAAACCACGAGUUCAUGCGCGGGGCAGCGGCUAGUUUAAAGAAGAACUUUCCUGCGUGAAGAAUGAAAUAGUUCCUUCCCGACCCCGCCCCCCUCAACGACAUUUACUCCCGCAACUUGAAGAGCGGUUACUGGUCACUGAAGCCUGCCAGCUGCGGGAGAGUCCAAACCCAGACCUGCCGCCGCUCUCAGGGCAUGGAAGGCACAAGUGAGCGAAGGCUGUUCCGCUUCCUUUCCGUGCUCGUCUUCUAAAGAGGGCGAGUCAUCCCAGGCCCCCUCCUUCCUUCAACUUCUUUCUCUUCCAAAGCUCAAAGUGCGGCAGGAAAAGCAGCCCUGAGGGCACGCCUGGAGGAACCAGAGGAUGGAGCCCAGAGCAAUCAAGUUCACUGAAGAGUGAAGGGUGAAUCCUGGAAAGGACAGAGCCAGAGAAGAGGAACCCAACAUUCUUCCCAUAAACUCUGCCCAAGGCUCUGAUUCACGCCGGACCCGCACACGAGCAGGGUAAACUGCAGGUGUCCCAGCUAAAGAUGAAAAGAAACGGAACCCGGAGCAAUCGCCUGCUGCAGAAUAAAAUAGAAUCCAGAAUCUCCUCAGCAUAACCUUCAAAAUAUUCAGAAUAUGCUCCAAAAUUAGUCAGCAUACAAAGAACCAGGAAAAUGCGACCCAUUCUUCAGGGAAAGCAAACAACAGAGGCCAAUCCUAAGAUAACUCAGAUGUUGGGGUUAUCAGACAAGGAUAUUAAAGCAGCUAUUACAACUAUGCUCAAGGAUAUAAAGAAAAACAAUUUAUAAUAAAUGAACAGAAAGGAAAUCACAGCAGAAAAAUAGAAAAUAUAAAAAAGAACCAAAUGGAAAUUUUAGAACUAAAUAUAUGGAAUAAAAAAAAAAUCUCUGGAAGGGCUUAAUGGCCAAAUGAAAAUCCCAGUCGAAAGAGAAAAUAAACUUGAAGAUGGAUCAAUAGAAAGUAACCAAUCUGAAAAAAAGGAAAAAGGUUGGAAGGAAAGAAAGAUAACAGAGCCACAGAGACCUGUGGGACAAUAUCAAAAUAUUGUCUAAUAUAUGGAUAAUUGGAGUCACAGAAAGAGAAGAAAGAAAAAAUGGGACAGAAAAAAAUAUAUAUUUAAAGGCUUAUGGGAAGGAUCCAGUUGAGAGGAAGAGGUUGAAUAUAUAGGAAAGAUAACAGAUCACAAAUAGUAGAUAUUUUUAUAGACGGAGGGAAGGGAUGGAAUCCAAAGUGUAAGUGUAGAGAUUUGGCUAAGGCAGAAAAGAUGAUAGCACUUGUAAUUGCAAUAGGCGGGGAGAGAGGAUAGGAUGGGAGCAAACAUAGGCGGAUUUGUGUCUGAGAUGAGAAUUUUCAUUUGACAACUUCUAUUUUCCCUCUUAAAGGGAGAGAGCUUGAGCGAUGGUUAGAGAGACAGAAGGGCAUCUGCUGUGCGUGGAGUUGUAAAGGAAGGCCAGAGGUUUGAGAUAAUCGCUGUGAGACAGUGAGUUCAUUGUAGACACUUGACAGGGUUCCCUAGGUGUCCUGAGGGCCCGUUUGAACAUAGUAACCAUGAAUUUCUGUAGAACAAAUACACCCUGUUGUGUGACUUUCCCAGAGGCUGCGUGAGUGCAAGCAUGGUGAUUUGAAUAGUUGGGUCCAUCCAUGGCUGGAAUUUUGCUAGAUGGGUGUGACAAAAUGACAAAGGAUCAAGGUUAGGG